RNAcentral lists this ribosomal RNA (574 nucleotides) under uncultured Bacillota bacterium. RNAcentral describes it as "bacterial SSU rRNA". It matches the Rfam family "Bacterial small subunit ribosomal RNA", at positions 351 to 916 of the family's 1533-position model. Lineage: Bacteria; Bacillati; Bacillota. The record is from RNAcentral.
GCAGUAGGGAAUCUUCGGCAAUGGACGAAAGUCUGACCGAGCAACGCCGCGUGAGUGAAGAAGGUUUUCGGAUCGUAAAACUCUGUUGUUAGAGAAGAACAAGUGGUAGAGUAACUGUUACCACCUUGACGGUAUCUAACCAGAAAGCCACGGCUAACUACGUGCCAGCAGCCGCGGUAAUACGUAGGUGGCAAGCGUUGUCCGGAUUUAUUGGGCGUAAAGCGCGCGCAGGCGGUUCUUUAAGUCUGAUGUGAAAGCCCUCGGCUCAACCGAGGAAGGUCAUUGGAAACUGGGGAACUUGAGUACAGAAGAGGAAUGUGGAACUCCAUGUGUAGCGGUGGAAUGCGUAGAUAUAUGGAAGAACACCAGUGGCGAAGGCGACAUUCUGGUCUGUUACUGACACUGAGGCUCGAAAGCGUGGGGAGCAAACAGGAUUAGAUACCCUGGUAGUCCACGCCGUAAACGAUGAGUGCUAGGUGUUGGAGGGUUUCCGCCCUUCAGUGCCGCAGCUAACGCAUUAAGCACUCCGCCUGGGGAGUACGACCGCAAGGUUGAAACUCAAAGGAAUUGACGG